GAUGCUUUAGAGAUAAAGCGGAGGUAUUCGGGGAGACAGGUGGUGCAUGGUUGUCGUCAGCUCGUGUCGUGAGAUGUUGGGUUAAGUCCCGCAACGAGCGCAACCCCUAUUGCUAGUUACCAUCAUUAAGUUGGGGACUCUAGCGAGACUGCCAGUGAUAAACUGGAGGAAGGUGGGGAUGACGUCAAAUCAUCAUGCCCCUUAUGACCUGGGCUACAAACGUGAUACAAUGGCUGGAACAAAGGGAUGCGAAGCAGUGAUGUGGAGCGAAACCCAUAAAAACAGUCUCAGUUCGGAUUGAAGUCUGCAACUCGACUUCAUGAAGUCGGAAUCGCUAGUAAUCGCGGAUCAGAACGCCGCGGUGAAUACGUUCCCGGGCCUU
This 382-nucleotide ribosomal RNA is filed under the name uncultured Acholeplasma sp. Its description in RNAcentral is "bacterial SSU rRNA". It matches the Rfam family "Bacterial small subunit ribosomal RNA", at positions 994 to 1382 of the family's 1533-position model. Lineage: Bacteria; Bacillati; Mycoplasmatota; Mollicutes; Acholeplasmatales; Acholeplasmataceae. The record is from RNAcentral.